Molecule: ribosomal RNA, 521 nt
Filed under: uncultured bacterium
Lineage: Bacteria
Description: bacterial SSU rRNA
Rfam family: Bacterial small subunit ribosomal RNA
Source: RNAcentral
AGAGUUUGAUCCUGGCUCAGAUUGAACGCUGGCGGAAUGCUUUACACAUGCAAGUCGAGCGGCAGCACGGGGGCAACCCUGGUGGCGAGCGGCGAACGGGUGAGUAAUACAUCGGAACAUGCCCAGUCGUGGGGGAUAACACUUCGAAAGAAGUGCUAAUACCGCAUACGUCCUGAGGGAGAAAGCGGGGGAUCGCAAGACCUCGCGCGAUUGGAGUGGCCGAUGUCAGAUUAGCUAGUUGGUGGGGUAAAGGCCUACCAAGGCAACGAUCUGUAGCUGGUCUGAGAGGAUGAUCAGCCACACUGGGACUGAGACACGGCCCAGACUCCUACGGGAGGCAGCAGUGGGGAAUUUUGGACAAUGGGGGCAACCCUGAUCCAGCCAUUCCGCGUGAGUGAAGAAGGCCUUCGGGUUGUAAAGCUCUUUCGGCAGGAACGAAACGGCGAGCUCUAACAUAGCUUGCUAAUGACGGUACCUGAAGAAGAAGCACCGGCUAACUACGUGCCAGCAGCCGCGGUAAU